UAAUAUUAUAUAUUGUAAUAAAUCAUAAAAUAAUGUAUAUUUAUAAAUUUACAACAAAUUUUUUUAUAAAAACGGCUAAAUUUCCCCACUUUGUUACACUAAAUAAACGUGUUGCUACCGGUAUUAAUUUCCUAGUCCCUUUUUAUCUACUUCCUAUGACACAUUUUUUAAGCAUAUAUUUUAAACAUAAAGCGCAUUUUUAAAUAGUAAAUUUAAAAGUGGGCUUUAUUUAGUACUGGGCCUUAUUCGUCUCAAAUACCUUACAAUAUCUGCGAAUAUAACGAUACUAAUACUGUCGUUAAGAGUUCUAAAAUUGCUAGACUCUCGUAUCGUGAUCAUGAUAAUAGGAUCAUGAUAUUAGGUUACGUUCAUAAACAGAUUAUGAUUUAAAAAACGAUAGUAAACGCACAAUGUAUGAAACCGAUAUGUGUACUAAAUCCGUAUACCAUACGCAAGCCGACGAAGUCGCAAGAGCAAACCAAAAUUAUCUCUACUGCUGCGUCAAGAUAAUAAUUGCUUUGAACUCCUACAAAAGAGAAUAGUCGGUCGGAUCCUGAUUUAAUUUUUCAUUACUUACUCAAUAUGUCUUCAAAAAUAUUCCUUAAAAUUAGAAACAUGCUAAAAAUAUGCAUAUUGUUUUUCUGAUACUACAUCAUCUCUACAAGUUUGUUAUAAUUUGUUUCUAUUAUAAGUUAUUUGUUCGUAUUAAAUCUUGCAAGGUUAAUAAAUAACUGUUCUGUACUGUGGAUGGAGAUAUACAUCUUGACAUUCAACGUUAUAAGAACUUGGGUUUACUACGAUGAUAAAUUUGUGUAAUAAUAGAGUUUCCCCAACGCCAAACAGCAUCUAAUACCGGAUAUUAGCUAUAUCUGUGACAGUUGAAUUGCUGCCGCGCAUUAUUUUACGUAAGCCGAAGAGACGACAAUAGAACAAUUAGAUUUCAAGACGUUCUAGUCGCGUGUACCCUAAGAAGAUCGGUUGAACGUUGAGUUUGAUUGGAAGCUACGGUGCAUUGUAUAAAAUUAUGAGUUAUUAUAUCUACCAAUUUGUGUGGUCUAAAGACAUGAGUUGCGUUAUUAUACCCUGUCGAGAAUUUAAAUAUUAAUAGUUAAAUAAGUAUUUUUUUAAAUAAUAUUUAUAUUUUGUGUACACAAUGCAUUGGUUAAAAAAAAUUUAAUAGUUUCAUUGUCCCCUAGUUUCGGACAAAACAAUUUCCCCUAUUGCCGAACAGUACAAAUAUAAAUCUUGCGUUUCCAUUUGUACGGGUAUUUAUUAUUCAAGUUUCAAUACUUAAAAAGAUACACCUAAGCAACAUAAAUACGAGUAAAAAGAAAAAUUCGUGGAAUAAAAAUAAUUUACAAACUGCACUUCUGAAAAUUCUGACAAAAGAAGUUAGCCUAAAAGAGAUCAAAAUAUGGUAUUGUAAGAAGCACUUUAACAAAGAAAAAUGUAUAAAAUCUGGUCUAAAAAAUACUUUGCAGUCUAUACUAGGUAAUUCACCAAAACUUUCCCCCUCCAGAAUACAAAGAACAAUUAGUAAAGCAUGUAAUCACUUGACUAAUCGUUGUUUGACAUCAAUAAAAAAAGAAUUUUUUAAAUUGGCUUGUGAUUUAGCGAUAGAACUACAGCUUUCUUAUCGUUCCAACACAAAAAAAAGAAUAGCAGGCAAACAUUUUUUAUUUUUAUGGUUAGAAACACUGAUCUUUCAUUAAGAAUACCUGAGUCUAAGUUUAAUGCAAACUGUGGAUUCUAAUAAGCCGCAAGCUCAAAAUUAUUUUUAUAAUCUCAUCAAACAGUAUAAUUUCUCUGCUUCUAGCAUAUUCAAUGUAAAUUAUAUUAAAACUGUUAUAAAUUAUAUUAGUAAGUCUUAUUGUGUCCCGUACUAGGUGCCACUUAACGAUUUCUUAAAAUUGUAUACCAAAGUUUAACGUUAAUUUAACUAUUAAUAUUCAAAUUCUCGACAGGGAAAAAUCUUGGACUAAAAAACUCAUUUCCGAGACAUUACAUAUAAAGCGAUAACCACAACGGUUUAAUUUAUACACAAAUACGCAACUCUUAGAUGUCACCUACAAUAUAAUACUCGACAAAAUAAAAAAAUAACUAAUUCCUCUACCUCUAUUUUCUGUUUUCUAUUUAAAAUUUUUUUUCUAUUUCUACUUCUAUUUGCGUUCGGUUGUUUCUUCGUAUCUUUCAACUUCUUAUUUACUUUCUUGCUCUUCUUUCUCCUUCACUUCCAUCCCCUUUUUAGCUAUCUUCCUUCCCACUCUCCUUUUUUCCUAUUUCUCCUUCUAUAUGCCUUUUACAAGUAAAACUGUUAUACUUCAUCAACGACAAACGGUGCUCACAGUUAUAAUAUACCACGGAUAAAUAUCUGUUAACAAACUUGUGCUCUAUUUAAAUCUAACUGUAAGUUUAUUGUAACACAUUUUAUAUUAAUUUAUGUUAAUUUAUUCGGACUAAUUAACUAAUUUUAUAUAAUUGAUAAUAUAUACGCUUUAAGAUCAACAGCACUUCUGGCCUAAUUAACUCGCCGCCGUAAUAAAAAGAUUUAGCAUAUACGUUGAUUAUAUUCAACACACCUUUAAACAUACUUAACGAUUUGGAAGGUUGAUCCAUAAUAGAAGAGAUGCACUAAAGAAAACUCAAAUUGUAAGUUGAAACGUUUGCGUACUUAUGUAAAAUUAAGGGGGAAACGUCUUUUAUCGGGUCAAAAAAAUCGAUAUUUUGGAAAUAGUCUUAAUCGAUUGUUAAACUAUUCAAGAAUAUUCCCUGAAAAUUUCAAGUCAAUAUCUGCAGUAUCUACGAAGUUAAAGCGGACGGGUCGGGUGACGAGGCCUAGCGACCCUCGGGCGGUCGCGUUUAUAUCUGCGUUCUCGGAGCGUGUUUAUAUCUGCGUUCGAAAAGUCCGUCCGAUCUUCGACGAUCUUUCGAAUGACAGUCUUUUGGAAAGAUGUUUAGGCGGUUACACAAAGAAUGCAAAUAAAAGUUUCAAUUCUACCGUUUGGCGUUUAUCGCCUAAACACAUUCACAGUGGAGCAAAAAUCGUCUGCAUUGCUGCGUAUAUUGCUACAUCGAUAUUUAACAAAGGCUACAAUGCAGUGUUAAUGAUAAUAAACAAAUUGGAUAUCGAAAUUGAGAUCCAGGCACACAAUUUUGCCAUAACGAAAGACGAGAAGCGAAUAAACAGACAGAACCGCCGAAGCUAUAGUAGCUCAAAAGAGGCAAGAACGGCUCGUAGGAUGGAGAUGAUGGUUCAAAACGAGUUCUACGAGGAAGCGGAGAGACUACUUUAUGCAGAUGGAAUCGCUGAUUAGCGUAAGACUGACAUCAAAAUUAAGGACGCUACAGUGUACACAGCGGAGACACUCCAUAAGCAAAACGAUAUUAAUAUAGCGCUCGUUUUUAUAGUAAACUUUUUUUUUAUUCCUGUGUACUCUUCGAUUGUGUAUUAAAUCAUAAAAAUUUCAAAA
Molecule: long non-coding RNA, 3470 nt
Organism: Solenopsis invicta (red fire ant)
Lineage: Eukaryota; Metazoa; Arthropoda; Insecta; Hymenoptera; Formicidae
Exons: 2
Source: RefSeq, a predicted model, not a curated record